CACUGCUGACAACUUUACAAGUUGAGAUGCAGAAUUGCUUUUCAACGCAAAAUCGGAAAUGGUACUUCUUAUUUAUGUAGAAAAGUUGCAGCUUCUACAAAAAAAAAUAUAGCCAAGUGCUAGGGGAUUUCUUCUUGAGAAACAUCUCUCACGAGGCAACUUUUGUUUUCUUAGGAAGUACAAAAGUGCCCAAUUAUCAAGAGGAGAUCAGAUACAACGGCAUCACACCUAAUUACUUGGAUCUUUAGACACUACAAAACGAUAGAACAAGCAAAACAGUUCAUGUGAUUACUAAACCACGUGUAUAAAUUCAUCUGCUAUGCAUAACCGAUUUUUUUUUACUUUUAUAUAAAAAUCAAUAGGUAAUUAAUCAUUUCACCAAAAAUGUCUGUAAACUCAAAGGUUAUUCCAAUUGUUUCUAUUUUGUCAAGUCACAUCACUUAUGUAUGAUGACCAUUGGAAGGACCCGUAAGCUCGUAUAUAAAUGUCGGCUCCUUUGUUGCGAGGAAAAUAUAAAUGUCGGCUCUACUACAAAGUGGGUGCAAAUGCUUAGAGCUCUCUUAACUUGUAGUGUUUGGACAUUUUUUUUGUUUCCUUUUAUCUCUUAAGUGUAGCAAAGUAUAAGAAAAUAAAAACUUAAGAAGGAACAUGUGAAACAUUCUUCCUUCAUAUAUCCAAAUCCUGUUGAGAUGGGAAGUUCAUAUAUUUUGAGAAAACAUGAUAAAUGGUUUCAUGACGUUGUUUAGUUGUGUGAAAAGAAGAUAUCAAGGUCAAUUUACAUGUAAGAAAAGAUCAUGUGAAGGGGGUGUAUGGCAUGGUUAUGGACCUGAGAAUAUGUAGUCUGUGUGAGCAUGCACGUAUCAACUAUGGAUGACUAAAGAGCUAGAAAAACAAGAGGACAAGCCACCAAUAGUGCUUCCAAUAGAAGAGAUUAAGGAGAAGCCACCUCGGCUAAAACUAUGUGUGUGUGGCGUGCAUGUGCUUUAGUAACAUGGAACUUACAGAGUCUUCAUAUGGUCACACCUACCCUUACCACCAACUAGAAUUCAACUCCAUUAAUCCGUUCCAACUUAGAUAUCUGGAACAUCUCAAAAGUUGUGAGCUUGCUUCUAUACUUCCAUUAUUGUUUUUCAGGAUUGCGCAUGUGUGCCGAGUGGGAGAAACUUGCAUGAUAAGUACACCAACUAAAAAUCGAGAAAAUGUGUGAAGAAGGUCGAGGUAGAAUAGUGCACAAUUGUUCAAUGUAGUAGUCAAAAGGAUUCAACAAGGAUAAAUGAUAAGAGUUUCAUCAUUAGAAAGCAUAAGGAUACCUAGGAUUGCAUUCCGAAAAAGCAUAGAGCCGCUAUGCACAGAAAUAAGUAUUGAUUGCUAGAGCUCUCUCUUGACCUUCUCAUGACUAAUGCAAGGUGAUUGUCUCUCUUGGCGACCUAGCUUAGAACUAAUAGUAGUUGAAAAUCUACAUGACAUGAUGUUGUAUUGCGUAGUUCAGAUAGUGCAACUCGUGACCAUGAAACCGGCUAGCAUGUAUAACCCAUAUAAACCCAAACCCAUUUUCAUGACAUGCUUGUACUCUUAUUUAAAAUCCCUCCUGUCAUCUGUCGUACCUAGGGCCAGUCCUAAUAUACUACUAGAGGCCUGAGGCAAAAGAAGAAUAAGACAUCCCUAUUUGAAAAGAAAUGCUCAUAAAUUUAAGAAAGAAGUGACAAAUUUUCAAAAGUUUUACAAUUUGAAAAAUUUCAUGAAUUUAGAAAAAGUUCAAGAAUAUGAUUUUUUUCUACAUAACUUGAAAUUAGUUCAACAAUUUUAAAAAGCUGACGAA
This 1819-nucleotide long non-coding RNA is filed under the name Hordeum vulgare. Its description in RNAcentral is "long non-coding RNA (HVUL_LNC014015)". The record is from RNAcentral. Lineage: Eukaryota; Viridiplantae; Streptophyta; Magnoliopsida; Poales; Poaceae.